This 439-nucleotide ribosomal RNA is filed under the name uncultured bacterium. Its description in RNAcentral is "bacterial SSU rRNA". It matches the Rfam family "Bacterial small subunit ribosomal RNA", at positions 354 to 796 of the family's 1533-position model. The record is from RNAcentral.
GUGGGGAAUCUUGCACAAUGGGCGAAAGCCUGAUGCAGCGACGCCGCGUGGGGGAUGAAGCAUUUCGGUGUGUAAACCCCUUUCGACUGGGAAGAAUACCUCGCAAGAGGGGUGACGGUACCAGUAGAAGAAGCCCCGGCUAACUACGUGCCAGCAGCCGCGGUAAGACGUAGGGGGCCAGCGUUGUUCGGAAUUACUGGGUGUAAAGGGUUCGUAGGCGGUGCGGCAAGUUGGGAGUGAAAUCUCUGGGCUCAACCCAGAGGCUGCUUCCAAAACUGCUGUGCUCGAGUGUGAGAGAGGCUCGUGGAAUUGCAGGUGUAGCGGUGAAAUGCGUAGAUAUCUGCAGGAACACCCGUGGCGAAAGCGGCGAGCUGGAUCACUACUGACGCUGAGGAACGAAAGCUAGGGGAGCAAACAGGAUUAGAAACCCCAGUAGUCC